UCAAACAGCAAACUACUCUCCUACUUUCAUUCCUUCGAACAAUCCAAGUUCAUACCAAUCCCUCUGCAACCAUGACUCCCUGCAACUGCAACUCUUGCUGCUCCGGCGAAUGCAACUCUUGCAACUGCUCCCAGUGCAAGGUAUGCACCCACAUCUCU
RNAcentral lists this small RNA (158 nucleotides) under Aspergillus bombycis. Its description in RNAcentral is "A. fumigatus sRNA Afu_254". It matches the Rfam family "A. fumigatus sRNA Afu_254". The record is from Rfam by way of RNAcentral. Lineage: Eukaryota; Fungi; Ascomycota; Eurotiomycetes; Eurotiales; Aspergillaceae.